RNAcentral lists this ribosomal RNA (252 nucleotides) under uncultured bacterium. RNAcentral's name for it is "partial 16S ribosomal RNA". It matches the Rfam family "Bacterial small subunit ribosomal RNA", at positions 524 to 776 of the family's 1533-position model. The record is from RNAcentral.
UACGUAGGGGGCAAGCGUUGUCCGGAAUUAUUGGGCGUAAAGCGCGCGCAGGCGGUUAAUUAAGUUGGGUGUUUAAGCCCGGGGCUCAACCCCGGUUCGCAUCCAAAACUGGUUGACUUGAGUGUAGGAGAGGAAAGUGGAAUUCCACGUGUAGCGGUGAAAUGCGUAGAGAUGUGGAGGAACACCAGUGGCGAAGGCGACUUUCUGGCCUAUAACUGACGCUGAGGCGCGAAAGCGUGGGGAGCAAGCAGG